RNAcentral lists this long non-coding RNA (1274 nucleotides) under Salmo salar (Atlantic salmon). RNAcentral's name for it is "lncRNA (ENSSSAG00000087370.1, ENSSSAG00000109087.1)". Lineage: Eukaryota; Metazoa; Chordata; Actinopteri; Salmoniformes; Salmonidae. The record is from RNAcentral.
UCUGAGUAGAGGGCUCUGGGUCUGGGUGUCUGGGUAGAGGGCUCUGGGUCUGGGUGGAGGGCUCUGGGUCUGGGUAGAGGGCUCUGGGUCUGGGUGUCUGGGUAGAGGGCUCUGGGUGUCUGGGUAGAGGGUUCUGGGUCCGGGUGUCUGGGUAGAGGGCUCUGGGUCCGAGUGUCUGGGUAGAGGGCUCUGGGUGUCUGGGUACAGGGCUCUGGGUCUGAUUGUCUGGGUACAGGGCUCUGGGUCUGGGUGUCUGGGUAGAGGGCUCUGGGUCUGGGUGUCUGGGCAGAGGGCUCUGGGUUUGGAUGUCUGGGUAGAGGACUCUGGGUCUGGGUGUCUGGGUAGAGGGCUCUGGGUUUAGGUGUCUGGGCAGAGGGCUCUGGGUUUGGGUACAGGGCUCUGGGUCUGGGUGUCUGGGUAGAGGGCUCUGGGUCUGAUUGUCUGGGUACAGGGCUCUGGGUUUGGGUACAGGGCUCUGGGUCUGGGUACAUGGGUCUGGGUGUCUGGGUAGAGGGCUCUGGGUUUGGGUACAGGGCUCUGGGUCUGGGUGUCUGGGUAGAGGGCUCUGGGUUUUGAGUGAGUCUGGCUGGUCUCUGGGUCUCAGGCUGGUUGUCCUCCUGCUGGUCCUCUGUGCUGCUCUCAGACUCAGUGUUCCUGUGUGUCUGCUGGUACCAGUGUAACAGAGGUUAAAAUAUCUUCCCUCAUAAUAUCAAAUUGGUUUAUUUUCUAUAGCUUAAUCUCAGUCAUUUUGUGACCAGACCAGUCCUCUACUCAGCGAUGUUGAGUGUCUCCUGGUACCAGCUCUACUCUGUCAUGUUGUGUCUCCUGGUACCAAUCCUCUCCUCUAGUUGUGUGUCUGCUGGUACCAGUCCUCUCCUCUGUCCUGUGUGUCUCCUGGUACCAAUCCUCUCCUCUAGUUGUGUGUCUCCUGGUACCAGUCCUCUCCUCUAUCCUGUGUGUCUCCUGGUACCAAUCCUCUCCUCUAGUUGUGUGUCUCCUGGUACCAAUCCUCUCCUCUAGUUGUGUGUCUCCUGGUACCAGUCCUCUUCUCUAGUUGUGUGUCUCCUGGUACCAGUCCUCUCCUCUAGUUGUGUGACUCCUGGUACCAGUCCUCUCCUCUGUCCUGUGUGUCUCCUGGUACCAAUCCUCUCCUCUAGUUGUGUGUCUCCUGGUACCAGUCCUCUCCUCUGUCCUGUGUUUCCUGGUACCAAUCCUCUCCUCUAGUUGUGUGUCUCCUGGUACCAGUCCUCUCCUCUGUCCUGUGUGUCUCCUGG